CCUACGGGAGGCAGCAGUGGGGAAUAUUGGGCAAUGGGCGCAAGCCUGACCCAGCAACGCCGCGUGAAGGAAGAAGGCUUUCGGGUUGUAAACUUCUUUUCUGAGGGACGAAGAAAGUGACGGUACCUCAGGAAUAAGCCACGGCUAACUACGUGCCAGCAGCCGCGGUAAUCCGUAGGUGGCAAGCGUUAUCCGGAUGUAGUGGGUGUAAAGGGCGUGUAGGCGGGAAAGCAAGUCAGAUGUGAAAACUCAGGGCUCAACCCUGAGCCUGCAUUUGAAACUGUUUUUCUUGUGUGCUGGAGAGGCAAGCGGAAUUCCGGGGGUAGCGGUGAAAUGCGUAGAUAUACGGAGGAACACCAGGGGCGAAGGCGGAUUGCUGGACAGUAACUGACGCUGAGGCUCGAAAGCGUGGGGAGCAAACAGGAUUAGAUACCCUGGUAGUC
This 443-nucleotide ribosomal RNA is filed under the name uncultured bacterium. RNAcentral describes it as "partial 16S ribosomal RNA". It matches the Rfam family "Bacterial small subunit ribosomal RNA", at positions 338 to 795 of the family's 1533-position model. The record is from RNAcentral.